UAUGUGAUCGUCUCUCGCAUAUCAAUAAGCGGAGGAAAAGAAACUAACAAGGAUUCCCCUAGUAACGGCGAGUGAAGCGGGAAGAGCUCAAAUUUGAAAUCUUAAAGGGUUUCCCUUUACGAAUUGUAGUUUAAAGAAGUGUUUUCUGUUGAGGUUUUGGUAAAAGUUCUUUGGAAUAGGACAUCAUAGAGGGUGAGAAUCCCGUAUUUGACCUUUACUUUCAACUUUGUGAUACACUUUCAAAGAGUCGGAUUGUUUGGGAAUGCAGUCCAAAAUGGGUGGUAAAUUUCAUCUAAAGCUAAAUAUUGGCGAGAGACCGAUAGCGAACAAGUACCGUGAGGGAAAGAUGAAAAGAACUUUGAAAAGAGAGUUAAACAGUACGUGAAAUUGUCAAAAGGGAAGCGUUUGACACCAGUGUUGUUUUUCUGAAAAUCAAUUAAAGAACUGUUUAUGCUAAGUUGUUUAGACUUUAUCAGCUAACUGUUUAGUUUUGAGCUUUUCUUUAAUGCACUUUUCAGUUAACAAGUCAACAUCAAUUUCUUUUGCUGUAAAAAAGCUUGAGGAAGGUGGCUUGAGAUUCGUCUUAAGUGUUUAUAGCCUCUCGCCUAUGCAGUCGGAGAGAUUGAGGUCUGCAGCGUAGAUCCUUCGGGGCUAAAUGCAUUUGUGCUAAGUUAUAGCAUUUUAUAGACAACUUGUUGACUAUGAUUUGUCUUGUAGCUUACUCGCUUAUGUUAUUUUACCUACGCUUAGGAUGUUGACUGAUAUGUAGUCGUA
This 774-nucleotide ribosomal RNA is filed under the name uncultured Neocallimastigales. Its description in RNAcentral is "partial large subunit ribosomal RNA". It matches the Rfam family "Eukaryotic large subunit ribosomal RNA", at positions 24 to 644 of the family's 3401-position model. Lineage: Eukaryota; Fungi; Neocallimastigomycota; Neocallimastigomycetes; Neocallimastigales. The record is from RNAcentral.